Molecule: transfer RNA, 64 nt
Filed under: Fukomys damarensis (Damara mole-rat)
Lineage: Eukaryota; Metazoa; Chordata; Mammalia; Rodentia; Bathyergidae
Rfam family: tRNA
About the family: Transfer RNA (tRNA) molecules are approximately 80 nucleotides in length. Their secondary structure includes four short double-helical elements and three loops (D, anti-codon, and T loops).
Source: Rfam by way of RNAcentral
UGUAGCUCAGUGGUGGUAGAGCACCUGCCCAACACACAGGUGACCCUGGGUUUGAUCCCCAGUA